UGUUCCUACGGGAGGCAGCAGUGGGGAAUAUUGCACAAUGGGGGAAACCCUGAUGCAGCGACGCCGCGUGAGUGAAGAAGUAUUUCGGUAUGUAAAGCUCUAUCAGCAGGGAAGAAAAUGACGGUACCUGACUAAGAAGCCCUGGCUAACUACGUGCCAGCAGCCGCGGUAAUACGUAGGGGGCAAGCGUUAUCCGGAUUCACUGGGUGUAAAGGGAGCGUAGACGGCCAUGCAAGCCUGGAGUGAAAGCCCGGGGCCCAACCCCGGGACUGCUCUGGGAACUGUGCGGCUGGAGUGCGGGAGGG
This 305-nucleotide ribosomal RNA is filed under the name uncultured bacterium. Its description in RNAcentral is "bacterial SSU rRNA". It matches the Rfam family "Bacterial small subunit ribosomal RNA", at positions 334 to 656 of the family's 1533-position model. The record is from RNAcentral.